ACUGGAGUGCAGAAGUGUACUCUUCAACUGAGAAAUGGCUCUGCUUCAUAUUCACAGAUUCUGGAAAACAAGGGCCUUACAUACAAUGGUACCAUUCCCUUAUUAGUGGGAAUAUUCUUCCAUUUCUCAACCACCACAUUUUUACUUACUGAAUUCUAGAGACUGCUUGGUAGGACUCUAAGCACAUCAUCUUACCAAUGAAAUACAACUGCUGUAAAUUCCUACUGCUGCAGCUACACCACACAGUCACAAUACAAUCCUCUGGUCAGACACCCAGGUCAUACAGUUUGAAACUGUAGUUGUUUCUGUGUGUGUACCUAGCAGAGAUAGGAAAUACGGUUCUUGGGAAAUAAAUCCAGUCGAGACAAGAUUUAUCCUCUCCUAAAGCCUAGGUUUAAAAAUAUAUACUCAUGAGUACUUUAGAAUGAUGCUUACCAUUUUUAUAGUGCCUUACAAGCAUUGAUGAGCAUUCUGGUGUUUAGAAAAUUUCUUCUAAAAUUCCUUCAAAUUAUUAAGCAUUGCUUUCAUGAAAAAAUGUUAUGAAACCAUUUUCCAUGCCAGUUGUGAAUCUGUUCCUCCUAUGUUACCUAGGAGACACUCUGAUUCCGUGACUGAGGAAACCUCUCAUUACAAUAUCAGGGAUGCAAACACUUUAAUACAUCAUCUCCACUACUUUCAGCUAUAUCAAAAUUACGGUUGGUAAUGCUUAAAUAUUCUCAGCACUGUCAAAUAAAGACCGUAUCAUUAACAAAAGCCUAGCUCUUAAAGUAAAAAGGUAAUGAGACUAUGCAUAAGCUCAAGGUAUCACACAUACAUUUUUCUUACUAGAAGACUUCAGUGUGGGGACCCCAACUGAGCUUUUUAGAUAGCAGGAAGUUGGAACAGGCAUAACUCAGUUUAGCUUCACGUCCUACUCAGGUAUCUUUUUUUUUCCUGUCCCAGUCCAAGGGCCUCUUCCCUUAUAGCUAGAUCUGUGAUGGAACAAAAAUCAGCGGAUGCAGCUUAUUUCAAUACAACAUCUACUGGUCAAAGAUUUAAAGAUUUGAAAUAAGGGAGGUUGGUGACAGGUGAUUUCUUAUG
Cygnus olor (mute swan) is the source of this 1080-nucleotide long non-coding RNA. RefSeq lists it as uncharacterized. NCBI's taxonomy places the organism in Eukaryota, Metazoa, Chordata, Aves, Anseriformes, Anatidae. The record is from RefSeq and is a predicted model, not a curated record. The transcript is spliced from 3 exons.